GGUCACACGAAGUCCCCAAGGCACUGCUGUGUAAUAUCCAAAGCAUACCCAUACUCCUCAGAGGAUCCAUCUACCUUUGUGCACAAGAUAACAACAACAAGGAUAAAUCACCGUGGUAGCAGAACAGCUAACCUGCUCUGGAGCAGGAUAACUUCAGAGUAUCAGAUCACAGCCCGUCAACACCCCGACCUCUGACCAAUCAGAUCACUGAAGAAAAAGUAUCCAUGGACAACAGUCUGGAGUCUCAGGUUUGUUAACAAGAAGAAAACAUCCCAUGUCCCAAGAACAGAGUGAUUUUCUUCAUCAGAUCAUCCUCAGGAUGUCUCAUGUAUGGCCAUGGGCAGAAUAUAAGACAAUGGACCCCAGAGCAAAGACAAUGCAGAAGGCCCCAUCACCUCUCUUAUAUAGGAGCCAGACGCAGAUUGUAUAGAUUCUUUUGGUUGUUGUGUCUCUGUGGUUCGGUGUCUCUUUGAAGUUUUUUGUGUUUGUGGAAGU
Epinephelus fuscoguttatus (brown-marbled grouper) is the source of this 495-nucleotide long non-coding RNA. RefSeq lists it as uncharacterized. The transcript is spliced from 3 exons. The record is from RefSeq and is a predicted model, not a curated record. Lineage: Eukaryota; Metazoa; Chordata; Actinopteri; Perciformes; Serranidae.